This 302-nucleotide long non-coding RNA is filed under the name Eucalyptus grandis. RNAcentral describes it as "long non-coding RNA (EGRA_LNC006176)". Lineage: Eukaryota; Viridiplantae; Streptophyta; Magnoliopsida; Myrtales; Myrtaceae. The record is from RNAcentral.
CCAGCAUACGUUUCAUCUUCUAUAAAAUCUGACUCUAGGGUGCUCCAGAGAUCUUCGAGAUCUGUUUCCUGUUCCAACAUCGUCCAAUCAUGCUGCCGUGACGGAUCCACUUCCGAUGGUGCUCCAGAGAUCUUCGAGAUCUGUUUCCCGUUCCAACCUCGUCCAAUCACGCUGCCGUGACGGAUCCACUUCCGAUGGCCUCAUAUGUGGGUGCUCAGAUCUAGCAUGCUUCGUUAAUUCUGAGUAAGUCCCAACGAACAUACAAGUCUCCAGGGAACAACUCCUUGGUUUGGAAUCCAUGU